UCGAGGAUCUUUGGCAAUGGGCGCAAGCCUGACCAAGCGACGCCGCGUGGACGAUGAAGGCCUUCGGGUUGUAAAGUCCUGUCGAGGGGGAUCAAGGGGCAACCUUGAGUGAUCCCUGGAGGAAGCUCGGGCUAAGUUCGUGCCAGCAGCCGCGGUAAGACGAACCGAGCGAACGUUGUUCGGAAUCACUGGGCUUAAAGGGCGCGUAGGCGGCUCGCCAAGUCAGGGGUGAAAUUUUGCGGCUUAACCGUAACAGUGCCUUUGAUACUGGCGGGCUCGAGGGAGGUAGGGGUCUGUGGAACUUCUGGUGGAGCGGUGAAAUGCGUUGAUAUCAGAAGGAACGCCGGUGGCGAAAGCGACGGACUGGAUCUCUUCUGACGCUGAGGCGCGAAAGCUAGGGGAGCAAACGG
This 410-nucleotide ribosomal RNA is filed under the name uncultured bacterium. Its description in RNAcentral is "bacterial SSU rRNA". It matches the Rfam family "Bacterial small subunit ribosomal RNA", at positions 355 to 775 of the family's 1533-position model. The record is from RNAcentral.